UACAGAGGUCUCAAGCGUUGUUCGGAUUCAUUGGGCGUAAAGGGUGCGUAGGUGGCGCGCUAAGUCGGGUGUGAAAUCUCGGAGCUUAACUCCGAAAUUGCAUUCGAUACUGGCGUGCUUGAGGACUGGAGAGGAGACUGGAAUUCAUGGUGUAGCAGUGAAAUGCGUAGAGAUCAUGAGGAAGACCAGUGGCGAAGGCGGGUCUCUGGACAGUUCCUGACACUGAGGCACGAAGGCCAGGGGAGCAAACAGG
RNAcentral lists this ribosomal RNA (253 nucleotides) under uncultured bacterium. Its description in RNAcentral is "partial 16S ribosomal RNA". It matches the Rfam family "Bacterial small subunit ribosomal RNA", at positions 524 to 776 of the family's 1533-position model. The record is from RNAcentral.